UUAAACGUUUUUAUUUUGUAUAUUCAAAUCUAGUUUCAAUAUUAUUAAAUUAUGACAAUCGUUUUACUAAAACCUGAAAUAAUAAAAAGUUAUGUGUACAACAGCAAAAUAUGAAUAGAAAGUAGUACUGUAUGUCUAAAUAAAAUACGACAAGUAUAAUGUUCAAAACGUAUGAAGUCUUAUGUUAAAAAGUCAUUGCAACACCGUGGAUAUCAUAAUAUUAUUAAUUGCAGUUGGUUGGUUAGAAGCAUACAACACGUAAGACACUAAUCAAGAUAAUGGUUUGUAAUAAUACACUCUGUUUAAACGUUAAACAGAAACGAUAUUACAGAUGAUGUUCGCAUAGAAAUUAUAAUUCACAGAUAACAAAAUAAAGUUAUAUUGAAAAACGGAGUAUUGUUGUAAAUACGUGAUGUUUGCCAACGUUUAACUUAUAAAUGAUAUAGUAUUAAAUCAUAUCUAUUACGUAAGAAAGUUACCAUAACUGUACGAAAUGAAUUAGUUUCAUUCGUGGAGUAGUGGCGUCAAAAAGAUCAAACCAUAAAAAUUGGUAUGUAAUAAAUUGAUACACGUGAGAGCUCAAGCACAUAUUACAAAGGUACAUAAUAUUAUAUAAUAUGCAUGAAUUUCUACUACAGAACCUCUUUUUAUAGACCUUACCGUAUACAUGGUUCUAUAUAGCUGCUGUUUUGUUUUUCCUCAAAAAAGACAACACGGAGACCAUUUUAUAUGAUUUUCAAAAAAAAAAAAAAAUAAUAAUAACAAAUAUAUUUAUUAUAUUAUGCGUGUAUAAUGUGUAUAUUGUAUAAUAUUAUUUUGAAACAAAGCUUUAAAGCUCUCGUAAACCCAAUGAAAAAUAAAGGAUCCCAAAAUUACGGGCGAAAGAAA
Aphis gossypii (cotton aphid) is the source of this 888-nucleotide long non-coding RNA. RefSeq lists it as uncharacterized. The record is from RefSeq and is a predicted model, not a curated record. Lineage: Eukaryota; Metazoa; Arthropoda; Insecta; Hemiptera; Aphididae. The transcript has 3 exons.